This 2342-nucleotide unclassified non-coding RNA is filed under the name Hevea brasiliensis (rubber tree). The record is from RNAcentral. Lineage: Eukaryota; Viridiplantae; Streptophyta; Magnoliopsida; Malpighiales; Euphorbiaceae.
UUUUCUUUUGUCGUUAAAAAAUCGCCGUCGGGCUGAUUGUUUUGAAGAGUGUGCUAAUUAAUUAAUGUCUAUAUGGACCUCUCUGCUUCGUUAAAAGUAUGGACUUUGUAAUUCCCCAUUUACCAAUUUCCCUUCUUUUUCACAUUUUCAUGAACUAUCAUUCCCCAAAAAUGCUCCUCGCCCUUUCUUCAACUUCCACCUCUACGUAACACGAAAAUCGUGGCCAUUAAUCUGAGUCCGUCCAUGGUUUUGGCUUAUUAGCUUUUUCUUCCUCUUCCAGCAUCCAACCCACUCAACAGUUGUCUUUGUCAGGCAAAGGAUUCUGUAUCGGUUCCUGCUAUUGUUUAGUCAUUACCACCAUGUGCUUCUCCGUCUUUUGGCGCCUAACUGCAUCAUUUUUGUGAACAACAAAGUUCUCGAUUCUCAGGUGCAGGGUUUUGAUGGAUGAUAAAGAGAGAGGUCUUAAGGGCGGCGAAGUAAGAAUGGCUGAGAAGAGAACCGCCGAUAGAGGAGAAGUGCUAAUAACAAUAUCGAGUGAUGAAGUUGCAAAUGUCAAUAAAGGGUCUACCAUUGCUCAUAGGCAGAGCAGGCCUAAUUCACCCAUGAAAGAAUCAAAUGCUGGUGGAUUUACAAAAUCUGUGUCUAUGAGCUACCCUUCACCAGAGAUCUCACGGUUUAGCCCAAGCCCCAACAAGCCCCCCAAAAUCCCUACCAACAACGAAAAUCUUACUAGAAGAAGGUCGCUCACGAGGUCAGUGUACUCAAAACCCAAGUCAAGAUUUGGAGAACAGCCAUAUCCUGUUGAUUCUGAUGCGUUUGAAGAGGAUAAUUUAACUCUCCAAGAACAAAUCGCCAGGAAUUCUCCCUAUAACAAUUCACUUAAUAGGGGGUCACCUAAUAACAAGUCUGCUUCUACUGCUAGGACAAAUUCCAUAAAUCCAAAAACGCCCCUGAUGGCAUCUCCAGGACAUGCAGAUGAUGAAGAAGAUGAGGUGGAGGAAGUUAUCAAGAAGGUUGAAUCGAGUCAAGAGAAGCAUAGUAGAGUGAGGGCCAAGCCUGUGAUUCAGUGGGUUGCAUUUAUUUGCAUUAUAGGAUGCUUAGUGGCAAGCUUGACUGUUGGGAAACUCGAAAAGACUAUGAUUUGGGGCUUGGAGUUUUGGAAGUGGUGUGUGCUUGUGAUGGUGAAGGUUUACAAGGGUCGGAAAGCUCUUGCGCAUGCAUUAGGUGACACCAAAACAGCUGUCAAGCAAUUGAACAAACUGGUGACAGUGAUCCUGGUUAUUGUGACCAUUGUCAUUUGGCUUCUCUUGAUGGAAAUUGCAACAACGAAAGUGCUUGUUGUCCUCUCAUCACAGCUAGUAGUGGUGGCGUUUAUGUUUGGGAAUACUUGCAAGACCAUAUUUGAAGCUAUAAUAUUUGUUUUUGUGAUGCAUCCAUUUGAUGUUGGUGAUCGUUGUGUUAUUGACGGUGUGCCAUUGUUGGUCGAGGAAAUGAACAUCUUAACGACAGUUUUCUUGAAGCUUGAUAAUGAAAAGAUAUACUAUCCAAAUUCUGUUUUGGCUACAAAGCCAAUCAGCAACUAUUACAGAAGCCCUAACAUGGGUGAUGCUGUGGAGUUCUCAAUAGAUUUUGCUACUCCAGUGGAGAAGAUUGCAUUGUUGAAAGAUAAAAUUAAGAAGUGCUUAGAGAAGAAUCCCCAACACUGGCAUCCUAACCACAGCGUUGUGGUGAAGGAAAUUGAGAAUGUAAACAAGUUAAAAAUGGCUCUCUAUUGUAAUCACACAAUGAACUUCCAAGAAUUUGGAGAGAAAAACAAGCGGCGGACUGAACUGGUCAUUGAGAUAAAGAAGAUUUUCGAAGAGUUAAAUAUAAAAUACUACCUUCUGCCCCAACAAGUUCAUCUCAGCCAUAUCGGGUCGGAAACUCGGAAUCUCCAGUUGUGACAAACAGAUUGUUGCUCAAUGCUCCUGGAUAAUUUGCAAGUAAUCAAGUCAUUGAUGCAAAGGAGAGAUGGUGCAACGAGUGCUACUUACCUAUUCUAUGCCAGAACACCAGUCAACAAAUCCAAGCAUUCAAUUUGUCACUUGGAGGAUAGAAUGUAUUCUGUUAAGAUGUUUAAAUAGGGAUGAAUGUUUUAUUUUGACUCUCUUUUUCCUGUUGUGAAAUUAGCUCCCUGGCUUUGUUUUUUUUUUUUUGACACUCGGUUGCUUGGGUUAAAGUUUUGAAGGCGCUACUCUAAAGCUAACAGGGAAACAUGGUUAUGUUUACUUUGUGUUUAAUGGAUAUUUUUCUUUGAAUUAUGCCAGAGUAGGAGUUGAGCUGUUACAUCACAAAUUAAUGCG